GCAGGCACCAAAACAGGUGUUGCGUCGCUGACGUCACGCGGCGGUGAUUGUGGCAACAGUCGACUGCAGCUAGAGAGACUGCGAUGGAGGACGCUCGCCCGGGGCCUAGCGGAUUUCGCGGCAGGCCUCGGAAGUACGCUACGGCCGAGGAUGCUCGCCAAGCGAGAAACGAGGCGCGACGUGCGAAGCGGCGGGAGCGAGGCGUUCGACCGCGAGUGCUGCUUUCCCCUGCCGAGAGGAUGCGACGCAAAGUCGAAGAGAAACGUCGUUGGCGCGAAUCUGACCCCGCUAUACGAGCGCGCGAAGCCGCAGCUAAGCGUCGAAAACGAGCCGAAGAAGCCGAACUACGAAAGCAGCAACGUGACGAUGCGAGACGGCAACGUAGAGAGGGGGCCGAAGCUCGCAGACAACGGCUUGAGGAAGAGAUCGAUGCUCGUAGGAUGGAAGCGGAGGCUCGGCGUCGUCAGUCGUGCGCUGCGGCGACGAAUCGAUUUCGGAAGGCGUUCGUGGAGAAUCCGUGUGGGAGUGAGUGCGACGUUUGCGGUGGACUGUGGUUUGCGAACGAUUUGACCCGAGUGAAGGCAGCGUCGUGCGAGCUUCUCCACCGGCACUUCCCAACGAGAAACGUGGCGGAGUUUAACGUGUGUCGCACGUGUGUCGACUCACUUCGACAGGGGAGGAUGCCAAACCACUCCACGACCAACCGAUGCGUCGGUCCUCCAAAGCCGCCUCAUCUGCCCCAUAGCAACUUGAUCAUUGAUGCUCUCUUGAGAGAAAGUGAUGGGAAUGAAGAGCUUGACAUGCAGGAGGGGCAUUCCCCACUGGGAGCAGAAACAGCUGUGGAAGCUGAUCCAUGUUGUUCAGGUGGCACAAAUGACUUCUUGACCACAACUGCCUCGUGCAGCACAGAUGCAGGUACAGUGCUCACGGAAUGAAAUAGGACACAGAUCAUUUAGUAGAACCCUACAUAUGUGCAAAGUACGCAAGAGCACCAUGUCAUGUCGCUAGGAAUUUGAUCACCAAAGGUGAAGAGGACUCCGAUGUAAGUGUACACGCCACAAUUACGUCGGUGUGACAAGAACUGCGGCCGGUUGAAACGAAAGUAUGCACAUUACUUAGCCCUAAAUUGACGCGUUUCAUUCCGUGAGCACUGUACACAGAGCAACUGUGGGAGGCACUCAAAGUGUGUUCAAGUGUCUCUGCGACCGGUGCAACGACAUGUACAGAUUCAGACCACCACAAAGACUAUCAAUUCAGGGAAUUAUUUUCAGCAGCACAGACACGCGUGACCUUUGCCUCUGCACCUUUUCCUUCGCUGCAAUGGGAAAUUGUGCCCGACUAAACGAGGCGCCAGGAAGAUACAGACAAGACGGUUUGGAC
Long non-coding RNA from Dermacentor albipictus, 1380 nucleotides. RefSeq lists it as uncharacterized. NCBI's taxonomy places the organism in Eukaryota, Metazoa, Arthropoda, Arachnida, Ixodida, Ixodidae. The record is from RefSeq and is a predicted model, not a curated record.